This 1360-nucleotide ribosomal RNA is filed under the name Escherichia coli. Its description in RNAcentral is "partial 23S ribosomal RNA". It matches the Rfam family "Bacterial large subunit ribosomal RNA", at positions 524 to 1869 of the family's 2925-position model. The record is from RNAcentral. Lineage: Bacteria; Pseudomonadati; Pseudomonadota; Gammaproteobacteria; Enterobacterales; Enterobacteriaceae.
CCCCGGCGAGGGGAGUGAAAAAGAACCUGAAACCGUGUACGUACAAGCAGUGGGAGCCUCUUUUAUGGGGUGACUGCGUACCUUUUGUAUAAUGGGUCAGCGACUUAUAUUCUGUAGCAAGGUUAACCGAAUAGGGGAGCCGAAGGGAAACCGAGUCUUAACUGGGCGUUAAGUUGCAGGGUAUAGACCCGAAACCCGGUGAUCUAGCCAUGGGCAGGUUGAAGGUUGGGUAACACUAACUGGAGGACCGAACCGACUAAUGUUGAAAAAUUAGCGGAUGACUUGUGGCUGGGGGUGAAAGGCCAAUCAAACCGGGAGAUAGCUGGUUCUCCCCGAAAGCUAUUUAGGUAGCGCCUCGUGAACUCAUCUCCGGGGGUAGAGCACUGUUUCGGCAAGGGGGUCAUCCCGACUUACCAACCCGAUGCAAACUGCGAAUACCGGAGAAUGUUAUCACGGGAGACACACGGCGGGUGCUAACGUCCGUCGUGAAGAGGGAAACAACCCAGACCGCCAGCUAAGGUCCCAAAGUCAUGGUUAAGUGGGAAACGAUGUGGGAAGGCCCAGACAGCCAGGAUGUUGGCUUAGAAGCAGCCAUCAUUUAAAGAAAGCGUAAUAGCUCACUGGUCGAGUCGGCCUGCGCGGAAGAUGUAACGGGGCUAAACCAUGCACCGAAGCUGCGGCAGCGACGCUGAUGCGUUGUUGGGUAGGGGAGCGUUCUGUAAGCCUGUGAAGGUGUGCUGUGAGGCAUGCUGGAGGUAUCAGAAGUGCGAAUGCUGACAUAAGUAACGAUAAAGCGGGUGAAAAGCCCGCUCGCCGGAAGACCAAGGGUUCCUGUCCAACGUUAAUCGGGGCAGGGUGAGUCGACCCCUAAGGCGAGGCCGAAAGGCGUAGUCGAUGGGAAACAGGUUAAUAUUCCUGUACUUGGUGUUACUGCGAAGGGGGGACGGAGAAGGCUAUGUUGGCCGGGCGACGGUUGUCCCGGUUUAAGCGUGUAGGCUGGUUUUCCAGGCAAAUCCGGAAAAUCAAGGCUGAGGCGUGAUGACGAGGCACUACGGUGCUGAAGCAACAAAUGCCCUGCUUCCAGGAAAAGCCUCUAAGCAUCAGGUAACAUCAAAUCGUACCCCAAACCGACACAGGUGGUCAGGUAGAGAAUACCAAGGCGCUUGAGAGAACUCGGGUGAAGGAACUAGGCAAAAUGGUGCCGUAACUUCGGGAGAAGGCACGCUGAUAUGUAGGUGAAGUCCCUCGCGGAUGGAGCUGAAAUCAGUCGAAGAUACCAGCUGGCUGCAACUGUUUAUUAAAAACACAGCACUGUGCAAACACGAAAGUGGACGUAUACGGUGUGACGCCUGCCCGGUGC